GGAGGAAAAGAAACCAACAGGGAUUGCCGUAGUAACGGCGAGUGAAGCGGCAACAGCUCAAAUUUGAAAUCUGGCUUCGGCCCGAGUUGUAAUUUGCAGAGGAAGCUUUAGGCGCGGCACCUUCUUAGUCCCCUGGAACGGGUCGCCAUAGAGGGUGAGAGCCCCGUAUAUUUGGAUGCCUAUGCCUGUGUAAAGCUCCUUCGUUGAGUCGAGUAGUUUGGGAAUGCUGCUCAAAAUGGGAGGUAAAUUUCUUCUAAAGCUAAAUACCGGCCAGAGACCGAUAGCGCACAAGUAGAGUGAUCGAAAGAUGAAAAGCACUUUGAAAAGAGGGUUAAAUAGCACGUGAAAUUGUUGAAAGGGAAGCGCUUGUGACCAGACUUGCGCCGGGCGGAUCAUCCGGUGUUCUCACCGGUGCACUCCGCCCGGCUCAGGCCAGCAUCGGUUCUCGCGGGGGGAUAAAGGUCCUGGGAACGUAGCUCCUCCGGGAGUGUUAUAGCCCGGGGCGUAAUGCCCUCGCGGGGACCGAGGUUCGCGCAUCUGCAAGGAUGCUGGCGUAAUGGUCAUCAGCGACCCGUCUUGAAACACGGACCAAGGAGUCAAGGUUUUGCGCGAGUGUUUGGGUGUAAAACCCGCACGCGUAAUGAAAGUGAACGUAGGUGAGAGCUUCGGCGCAUCAUCGACCGAUCCUGAUGUUUUCGGAUGGAUUUGAGUAGGAGCGUUAAGCCUUGGACCCGAAAGAUGGUGAACUAUGCUUGGAUAGGGUGAAGCCAGAGGAAACUCUGGUGGAGGCUCGCAGCGGUUCUGACGUGCAAAUCGAUCGUCAAAUCUGAGCAUGGGGGCGAAAGACUAAUCGAACCAUCUAGUAGCUGGUUACCGCCGAAGUUUCCCUCAGGAUAGCAGUGUUGUCUUCAGUUUUAUGAGGUAAAGCGAAUGAUUAGGGACUCGGGGGCGCUUUUUAGCCUUCAUCCAUUCUCAAACUUUAAAUAUGUAAGAAGCCCUUGUUACUUAAUUGAACGUGGGCAUUCGAAUGUACCAACACUAGUGGGCCAUUUUUGGUAAGCAGAACUGGCGAUGCGGGAUGAACCGAACGCGGGGUUAAGGUGCCGGAGUGGACGCUCAUCAGACACCACAAAAGGCGUUAGUACAUCUUGACAGCAGGACGGUGGCCAUGGAAGUCGGAAUCCGCUAAGGACUGUGUAACAACUCACCUGCCGAAUGUACUAGCCCUGAAAAUGGAUGGCGCUCAAGCGUCCCACCCAUACCCCGCCCUCAGGGUAGAAACGAUGCCCUGAGGAGUAGGCGGCCGUGGAGGUCAGUGACGAAGCCUAGGGCGGAGCCCGGCUCAAA
This 1347-nucleotide ribosomal RNA is filed under the name Chaetomium globosum. RNAcentral describes it as "partial large subunit ribosomal RNA". It matches the Rfam family "Eukaryotic large subunit ribosomal RNA", at positions 52 to 1432 of the family's 3401-position model. Lineage: Eukaryota; Fungi; Ascomycota; Sordariomycetes; Sordariales; Chaetomiaceae. The record is from RNAcentral.